Molecule: ribosomal RNA, 588 nt
Filed under: Tridentata perpusilla
Lineage: Eukaryota; Metazoa; Cnidaria; Hydrozoa; Leptothecata; Sertulariidae
Description: Sertularia perpusilla partial 16S ribosomal RNA
Rfam family: Bacterial large subunit ribosomal RNA
Source: RNAcentral
CCUAGUAUAUAUCUAAGGUGUAACCUGCCCAAUGGCUUUUAAUAAUUUUAACUAAAAUUUAAAAAAUAAAGUUUAAAGGACGCGGUAACCUUGACCGUGAUAAUGUAGCAUAAUCAUUCGCCAUUUAAUUGAUGGAUAGUAUGAAUGGUUGAACGAAUAUUUCACUGUCUUAAAAAGAAAUACCAAAAAAUUAGAAUAAUAGUAAAGAUACUAUUUAAAAUUGUAAGACGAAAAGACCCUAUAGAGCUUAACUAUAAUUUCUACUUAAAACAAUAAAAAACUUAGAAACAGAAGAAAUUGGUAGUUUAGUUGGGGCGACUGUCUUUUAAAAUAAACAAAGACAAGCAAAGUAAAUAAAAAAACUUAUUGUAUAAUUAAUAAAUUUAACAAUUAUAAAAAUAGGCUAUAAUGACCCGUUAUAAACUAGUAAAAGUAAUAACGAUCAAUAAAUAAAAGCUACCUUAGGGAUAACAGGAUAAUUUUAUUUUAGAGACCUAAUCGAAAAUAAAGUUUGUCACCUCUAUGUUGAAUUAAGAUAUCCAGAUAAUGCAGAAGUUAUCAAGGGUAGGUCUGUUCGACCUUUAAAAU